This 253-nucleotide ribosomal RNA is filed under the name uncultured bacterium. Its description in RNAcentral is "partial 16S ribosomal RNA". It matches the Rfam family "Bacterial small subunit ribosomal RNA", at positions 524 to 776 of the family's 1533-position model. The record is from RNAcentral.
UACGUAGGGGGCAAGCGUUGUCCGGAAUCAUUGGGCGUAAAGCGCGUGUAGGCGGCUCGGUAAGUCUGCUGUGAAAGCCCAGGGCUCAACCCUGGGAUGCCGGUGGAUACUGUCGAGCUCGAGUCCGGAAGAGGCGAGUGGAAUUCCUGGUGUAGCGGUGAAAUGCGCAGAUAUCAGGAGGAACACCAAUGGCGAAGGCAGCUCGCUGGGACGUGACUGACGCUGAGACGCGAAAGCGUGGGGAGCGAACAGG